UUUUUUUUUUUUUUUUUUUUUUUUUNUUUUUUUUAGGCCCGCACCUGCAGCAUAUGAAAGUUCCCAGGCUAGGGGUUGCAUCUGGAGCUGCAGCUGCCGGCCUACACCACAGCCACAGCAACGCCGGAUCCUUAACCCACUGGGCAAGGCCAGAGAUCAAACCUGCACCCUCAUGGACACUAGCCGGGUUUGUUACCUUGAGCCACGACAGGAACUCCUAAGAUUGGUUUUCAGUAGUGUGCGGAAACAUCUUACUACAUUAUAGUUUUUAUUCCAAAACAGAGUCCCCAUUCUGUUUAAAACUUUGCAUGUUAGCCAUGUUUAAUUUAAAAGUACAUUUAAUGAAUCGUAUUUCACCUAAACCACAUGUCCAAGGCACUGCCUGUUAUAACAUAGUUACUUCGCACAUUUCAGUUUGUUACAAUAUCUAUGCUUUUAACAUUUUUAUGGAGUGAUGUGCUUUUCUAAAGUGAGCAGUAUGUAAAUACUACCUUUCAUCUUAGUGUGGUUUCUGGUUUUGCUGGAAGGCAUACUUUGGAAAGAAGUAAAUUUUGUUAUUUAUUUUAAGUCUUGGCAUAAAAGCAGUUGACUGUAACGCCUGAUCGAGAUCUGUGCGUUUGUAUCAGCUAAGUUCUUACUGUUUUAUGUUCUGUUUUUUAGACACAACAGUACGGAUGGAAUUCUUUUCUAAAAUUUGCAGUAGUUUGUUUUUGGCAAUUCUUUGAAAUCAUGAUAAGGACAUUGUAAAAUAAUCGAGACUAUUUGCAUCACAUUUUCCAUGAGUAUUAGUUGGCAGAGACUGGAAAUUCUUUUUAAUUUAUGCCAUUAAAUGUGCUGUGGGAGUUUUAACAUCUGUUACAAUUUUCAAGUGAUGUCUAUUGCACUUAAAUAUACCUUUCCCAUCAUCUAUAUUUUUAUUCAUAGGAUCCUUAGAUAAUUUUUAGCAUUGUAUUUUGCUUCAAAGCUGAAUUAAGAUUGCGAGAAACUAUAUCCUUUGAUGUUAAUAUCAAGCUAUCUGUGGCCAAGGCUGUGAAAUUCUGUAAGAUUCAUUCAAGAACGUUUGAAAGCAUUGCACAAAGAGAUGCCCUAAGCUCCUGAACACUCUAGAGUCCGGCUCACUGGCUCCACGAACAGAGCUCUCCGCAGCUUUCUCCCUGCAUCCAGAAAGUCCUUGUUCCAGUUCUUACCGAGUUUACCUGGGAGCAGUCAGCUUCUGAGUGACUGAGAGUCAAGCCCAGCGUCUGUCACCUCCUAGUUCAGUUUGUAGUGUUUUUGUGUAGUUAAACUUUUCACUUGCUUCGUCAGUAUUUUUUCUUGUGAAUUAGUAUACCACAGAAAAUAUUUGAAUGUCGUUGGUUUAAAAGUGGUAGAUAUGAAAAUAAAGACUAGUAUUAGCUUUUCUAAGUAAGCGUGAAUUUGUCAUAAGUCUUGCCAUAAAAAGGUAAUAUACACUUUUAUUAUUAUACCGUCACAGUGUUAUGUUUCUUUUUGUGUAAUGAUUUGAAAUCCUUAAAGUCUCCAGAAUUUAGGUGAUAUAUGCUAUUACUAGUAUGCACAAAAUAAAGGAAUAGUCACUUUCCUAAUUGUUUUAUUUUAGCAAUAUGUUUUGUUAAUUUCUCUGUUUUUGUUUUGAAAAUAAAUGUAUUUAUUUUCUUUGUGGUGACAAAUCCAUUUGUUAAAGAACUUUUGGUCAUUGUAUUUCAUAAAGCUCAAUUUGUUAUUUCUUGAAUUUGGGGUUUUUCUAUUUACAGUCUACUUCAUUUAAUUGAAAUAGAGAUUAUCAACAACAGAAACUUUGGAUCUUGUUUCUCUACAACUAAUUGAAAUGAUACCUUUGGAGUUCCUUUUGUGACUCAGUGGAUUAAAAAUCCACCUGAUAUCCAUGAGGAUGCGAGUUUGAUCCCUGGCCUUGCUCAGUGGGUUUAGGAUCUGGCGGGGCUGUGACUGUGGCCGUGGCUGACAGCUGCACCUUCUCUGCUUUGCCCCCCAGCCUGGGAACUUCCACAUGGCACAGAUUCAGCCCGAAAAAGAGAAUAAAUUAUACCUUCACAUUUUAUUCAGAAACAUAAUUGUUGUAUAUUUAUGUAACUUGGUCUAUAAAAUCCCUGCUAAAUGUCCUUGUGGAUGGUUAAUACUUAUGAAUAAUUUGGGGUUGAGUAUAUAAUUACAGCUGAGAGUCUGAAGGAGAGAAAGAUAAUGUGUGAUUGAAAGGAAAGGUUUUGUGAAAGAGUGUGAUUAGUAGCAUGUGAAACCUUUACACUUUCUGAUAUUUAGCAUGAAACGGCACUAGUCAGAGUUUAAAGGAACGUGUUACUUGGAAAAAUAGAGGAAAUUUCCUGGGAAGUCGUAUGAUACUUAGAUUUCUUGGUUAUAGUAUUUAAUAGUGUAUUAAAAUAUAUUCCUGAAAUUUGAGAGAGUGUAGCAGAUUUUAAAGUCAGCCUUCUUAUUUUCAAGAAUAAGAUAGUAAAGACCACAUACCCGACUCCUGGAUCCCGCAGUCGUUGAUGAUCCUGUUUCGAGCUCAUCGUUAAUUAAGUAUUCUUCCCAGACAGACUCAUGGAAGCUGGGGAGGGGGACUGCUUCCAAGUACACAGCCAGGCCCGCCCUCAGGUUGUACAGCUCAGCUUGGGUUUAUUUCAGAGUAAAUAAACCAUUAUGAAAUAAAUUGAAAGUCGUUUCAUACUAAGAGCGUGAUUUCCUUUCCAGCACCCUUCAUUACUCAGCCUUUAAAAUUGGGAAACGAUUGUGGUGGGAGAACACACUCUUCUCCAGAGUCGUGUAAAGUGAAGUGUGCACGCAGGCUCCCGCUGGAGUGUGGUUAGUAACUUAGGACGUAGUACCUGACUUUACAUUUUAAAAAUAGUUUCCCUUCUUGCAACUCUUGUUUUAUGCAUUAUAUGUUGUAUUUGGUCAUUUUUUAAAUCUGUAGCACUACCUUCCAAGGGUAGGAAAAAUAUUUUCUUUUGUUUCCUUCAUUACUGAAUUAUAUUAAUGAUUAAAGUUUGAAUUUAGGCGAUGAAAUAGUUAAAGGUCCAGAGUGUUCUACUAACUUGGUAAUAUUAUUGACCUUUUGUCUUUUUCUAUAAAACCAUGUUUAGAUUAUAAGUAUCUUUAAGCGUUCCUUUUGGCUGGUUGCAUUUUUAUUUACCUAGUGGAAUUUGCAGUGUGUACUUGUAUGUUCCGUAAGAGGCGCUUUUAUGUUUCAGAUGCGAGGAAGUACAUGUAGGCCAAGUUCGUAACCCAUUGUUGCCUUGGCCAUGUCCAUGGCGUUCCGCAUUUCCUGGGCAGGAAGCAAACCUGAGCCACAGCGCGUGAAGUCCUUAACUGCCCAGCCACCAGCAAACUUCUCUUAACGCACAUUUUAAGUAUAUUGUGUGAUGGCUCAAAUCACGGUUCGCGUUACCAACCCCUCUCCCUGCAACAGAUACAGUAUUUUGUUGACUAUGUUUAUUUAAAAAUCUUAAGUUAGAAUUGUCAUUCUGGUUUAAAUAAAUGAGUCUCAAACGAGAUGAUAUUCUGCUUGUAAAUAAAAUUUCAGUUCUUCGUCCUAGAACAUAAUCAUGCAGAUUUCAUGCGAGGCACUUUGGUCUCAAAACUAAGACCCAAAUUAUUAGGAUUAAUAAUAAUUAUUAUUAGGAAGUGUAUUUUGUUUGAAUACAUGAUUUUUUCUUUUUAAUGUUCCUUAUUUUUUAAAAAAUAUAAUCAGUAAGUAGUAAAGUUGCUUGUUAGCGCAAGGGCCCUGAAUUGAUUGCAUCGGUAGGAACCUAAGUGUACCUGAUGAAUCCAUACCUCUCCCAUACAAGUGUGUAAGUGGUGUUGAGUUUUUGAAAUUGAUGUUAAUUCUUAAAAUUUGUUUCUAUCUCUGAAAUUAUCAUUGUAGAAUCAAAUUUAUUUUUAUUAUGUGUUAUAUACAUCUCAGUGUGAGGGAGAAAAUUUACAUAUAUGAGGUAAUGCAAAUUCCUCAAAUGAGUAGCCACGGAAAUCUGCGUUCUGUGUCAUGUUUAUGACCAGCUUUCUAAGACCUUCUUCCUGAAGUUCUUUUUCCUUUUAUGCGACGUGUCAACCAUGUGAAUGAGAUCCUGCAUAUGUUUAUCUUUGCCAUGUUUGGUUCAAGUUCUGUACCUUUUAAUUUUUAUAUGUUGUAAGUGAUAUUUUUUCUGAAAAUUACUCAUAUUAUUCAAUACAUGAAAAAGAUCAUCCUAUUUUAUUGUAUGUUUUUCUGGAAUAAUUUUAACUUGUUUCUCCUCAGCAUAUUUUUAGAUUAUUAGGUAAUGUAAAUUCAUAUCAAAUUUGAUGCAUUGCUUAGAUUUGCAAAUGUUACCUGGUGUUUUAUAAUAGUUUCUGACCUUUUUUUGUUGGAGGGAUAGUAACUUGCCCAGUGGUUCCUUGGUCUAUAAUGGGAAUUCUUUGAGGUGAUGAGAGUAUUUACAUGUUCACGGACAUAGUUAGAAUAUUUUAAAUAGAACACCUAUGGAGCCCAUGUAUUAACAAACUGAGUGCUGUAGUUGGUGUAAUUGUCGACACAAUGGGGCUUUCUCAGUGGUGUAGAAUUUACGGGAGCCGUAUCAUUCAGAAUUUCACUCUAUCUAUUUAUUUGUUGCCCUUUUGUAUCCUGCGUUCUUCCCCAGGGCGGGGAUGUCACCUUGGGGAAAAAACCCUGGCUCAGCAUGAAAGGACAGCAUCCACGGACGUCCCUCCAGAUGGAUGGCUCUCACACUUUGGAGUGCCUUUGACUCACCUGACAGGGCUCCUGAGAACACGGAUUUCUCGGCUGUGCCCCAGAGCUUCUUGAUGCAGCAGGUCUCAGGAGGGGCCAAACCGUUGCCCUUUCUGACAGGUUCCCAGGCGGUGCUGCUCUUGGGCCUGGUGCCCCGUUUGAGAAGUCUGCUCUAAAGCGUUGCUCAGGAGGCACGGAGCCGUUUGGGUCGGUGGAUUUCAGCUGGUCCCGGUCCCGGUCCCGGUCCCAUCCCUCUUCUGCAGGACCCCCGGCCAGUCACGGAGCAGAGCAGCCCAAGCCGAGGGCUUCCUGCUGCUGCAGAAAGUCUGUGGUGUCACGGCUCGUCCGUGCUGUGUUUUGCACCCGAGCUUCGAUUUUCACACGUACUUUUAGAAAGUGAUGCCCACCUGAGUUCAGUAAAGGGGAAUUGUUAACAAGUCUUGAGGUAGUUCGAACCUGCCUCGUGAGACCUCCCGGAGAUGUGCGUUGCGUGUGUGUGCUUGAAAGUCUCUUCAGAGUCCUGUACGGUACAUUGACACAAGCAAAUCGGUCCGUCACGAAAGCACAGAGUUGCUGUGUUGACAGUCAUUUUCUUCCCCAGUGUUUUGACUCUUAGCGCAAAGAAACCGUCCCCUAGCUUGCAACCUUGAGCUCUCGCAGGAGGCGGUGACGAGGGCGCGAGGGAGCCUUGUCUGAAGACGUGUCCGCCCUGCGACCCCGCGGCGCAGGGCACCUCCUCCUGCUUCCCACAGACGCAGCCUGCCCAGGAGGCCCCCCUGACCGAGCCUUGCUCGGUGUCGCUGAACUCAAAGUGGCGGGGGCUCCGGUCCGCUCGUCCUCUCCACUCACAGCCCCUCCCUCGUUCUGGUUAAGGAUUCGGGUCCUUUUGCUCCUGGGGAGUCCAGGACUUGAGACUCGGCCGCCAGUUCCUCACCUUUUCCGUAGGCCUUCUCAUGCAGACUGGGAGAGUAAGGCUUUGUUUCAUCCGUCCUGUAAAACGAAAUUUUGUGGCUAGAUUUCUGGAUGCACUCGUUUUUGCUGUUCAGUUAUUUAUUACUAAUUUUCUUCAAGAAAGGAUUUGAACUCCUGUGGCAGUACUUGGAUGCUGCAGUGAGUGAUAGCUGACAGAAGUCAGCACUUAAAUUAGCUAUUUUUUGGCACACGAAUGCAGAAAAAUAAAUUUUGAAAAAAG
Molecule: long non-coding RNA, 5909 nt
Filed under: Sus scrofa (pig)
Lineage: Eukaryota; Metazoa; Chordata; Mammalia; Artiodactyla; Suidae
Description: lncRNA (ENSSSCG00035021797.1)
Source: RNAcentral